Molecule: ribosomal RNA, 539 nt
Filed under: Betta uberis
Lineage: Eukaryota; Metazoa; Chordata; Actinopteri; Anabantiformes; Osphronemidae
Description: partial 16S ribosomal RNA
Rfam family: Bacterial large subunit ribosomal RNA
Source: RNAcentral
CGCCUGCCCUGUGACAAAGGUUUAACGGCCGCGGUAUUUUGACCGUGCAAAGGUAGCGCAAUCACUUGUCCUUUAAAUGAAGACCUGUAUGAAUGGCAUCACGAGGGCUUAACUGUCUCCUUUUUCCAGUCAAUGAAAUUGAUCCCCCCGUGCAGAAGCGGGGAUAAGACCAUAAGACGAGAAGACCCUAUGAAGCUUUAGACGCAAAGCAGAUCUUGUUAAACACUUCAAAAUAAAGAAACAAACUAAAAGAAUGCUGUCCUGAUGUCUUUGGUUGGGGCGACCACGGGGAAACGAAAAACCCCCAUGCGGACUGAGAAAACAAUUCUCACAACCAAGAGCCACAGCUCCAGUUAACAGAAUUUCUGACCUUUAGAUCCGGCAGUGCCGAUCAACGGACCGAGUUACUCUAGGGAUAACAGCGCAAUCCUCUUCUAGAGUUCCUAUCGACAAGGGGGUUUACGACCUCGAUGUUGGAUCAGGACAUCCUAAUGGUGCAGCAGCUAUUAAGGGUUCGUUUGUUCAACGAUUAAAGUCCU